This 253-nucleotide ribosomal RNA is filed under the name uncultured bacterium. RNAcentral describes it as "partial 16S ribosomal RNA". It matches the Rfam family "Bacterial small subunit ribosomal RNA", at positions 524 to 776 of the family's 1533-position model. The record is from RNAcentral.
UACAGGGGGGGCAAGCGUUGUUCGGAAUUACUGGGCGUAAAGGGUUCGUAGGUGGCCAACUAAGUCAGACGUGAAAUCCCUCAGCUUAACUGGGGAACUGCGUCUGAGACUGGAUGGCUUGAGGGAGAUAGAGGUGAGUGGAACUUAGGGUGGAGCGGUGAAAUGCGUUGAUAUCCUAAGGAACACCAGUGGCGAAAGCGACUCACUGGGUCGCUUCUGACGCUGAGGCACGAAAGCUAGGGUAGCGAACGGG